RNAcentral lists this ribosomal RNA (783 nucleotides) under uncultured Neocallimastigales. RNAcentral's name for it is "partial large subunit ribosomal RNA". It matches the Rfam family "Eukaryotic large subunit ribosomal RNA", at positions 27 to 614 of the family's 3401-position model. The record is from RNAcentral. Lineage: Eukaryota; Fungi; Neocallimastigomycota; Neocallimastigomycetes; Neocallimastigales.
GUCUAUAUACGUAUAGCAUAUCAAUAAGCGGAGGAAAAGAAACUAACAAGGAUUCCCUUAGUAACGGCGUAGUGAAGCGGGAAGAGCUCAAAUUUGAAAUCUUCAAGGUUCUACCUUGACGAAUUGUAGUUUAAAGAAGUGUUUUCUGUUAGAGGAGUAGGCAAAAGUUCCUUGGAAUAGGGACAUCAUAGAGGGUGAGAAUCCCGUAUUUGGUUCAUUCUUUCUAGCUGUGUGAUACACUUUCAAAGAGUCGGAUUGUUUGGGAAUGCAGUCCAAAAUGGGUGGUAAAUUUCAUCUAAAGCUAAAUAUUGGCGAGAGACCGAUAGCGAACAAGUACCGUGAGGGAAAGAUGAAAAGAACUUUGAAAAGAGAGUUAAACAGUACGUGAAAUUGUCAAAAGGGAAGCGUUUGACACCAGUGUUGUUUUUCCGAAAAUCAAUUAGUGCUGGCUGGAUUUUGUAGUUGUAGUUGACCUUAUCAGCUUUCUUCCUGCUUUUUUCGAGUCUGGUGCUUAAUGCACUUUUCGGUUAACAAGUCAACAUCAAUUUCUUUUGUUGUAAAAGGGUAUUUGGAAGGUGGCUUUCUUUUCGGAGAAAGUGUUUAUAGCCUUAUACCUCUACAAUCGGAGAGAUUGAGGUCUGCAGCGUAGAUCCUUCGGGGCUAGAUACACUUGUGCUAAGUUAUAGCUUUUCAUAGACAACUUGUUGACUAUGUUUAGUCAUGUAGCUUACCCGCUUGUGCUAUUUUACCUACGCUUAGGAUGUUGAGUCAUCACACAUCUCU